AGCCUUGUAUUCACGUUGAUGAUAACAGAAUGCAAUUCUGUAGGGGUAGGGUUUAAUUAACUUACCAAGGCCU
RNAcentral lists this transfer RNA (73 nucleotides) under Reticulitermes grassei. RNAcentral's name for it is "tRNA-Cys". Lineage: Eukaryota; Metazoa; Arthropoda; Insecta; Blattodea; Rhinotermitidae. The record is from RNAcentral.